UGCAGUCGAACGAUGAUGCCCAGCUUGCUGGGCGGAUUAGUGGCGAACGGGUGAGUAACACGUGAGUAACCUGCCCUUGACUUCGGGAUAACUCCGGGAAACCGGGGCUAAUACCGGAUAUGAGCCGUCCUCGCAUGGGGGUGGUUGGAAAGUUUUUCGGUCAGGGAUGGGCUCGCGGCCUAUCAGCUUGUUGGUGGGGUGAUGGCCUACCAAGGCGACGACGGGUAGCCGGCCUGAGAGGGCGACCGGCCACACUGGGACUGAGACACGGCCCAGACUCCUACGGGAGGCAGCAGUGGGGAAUAUUGCACAAUGGGCGAAAGCCUGAUGCAGCGACGCCGCGUGAGGGAUGAAGGCCUUCGGGUUGUAAACCUCUUUCAGCAGGGAAGAAGCGCAAGUGACGGUACCUGCAGAAGAAGCGCCGGCUAACUACGUGCCAGCAGCCGCGGUAAUACGUAGGGCGCAAGCGUUGUCCGGAAUUAUUGGGCGUAAAGAGCUCGUAGGCGGUUUGUCGCGUCUGGUGUGAAAACUCGAGGCUCAACCUCGAGCUUGCAUCGGGUACGGGCAGACUAGAGUGCGGUAGGGGAGACUGGAAUUCCUGGUGUAGCGGUGGAAUGCGCAGAUAUCAGGAGGAACACCGAUGGCGAAGGCAGGUCUCUGGGCCGCAACUGACGCUGAGGAGCGAAAGCAUGGGGAGCGAACAGGAUUAGAUACCCUGGUAGUCCAUG
This 728-nucleotide ribosomal RNA is filed under the name Cellulosimicrobium sp. 12-24. RNAcentral describes it as "bacterial SSU rRNA". It matches the Rfam family "Bacterial small subunit ribosomal RNA", at positions 56 to 799 of the family's 1533-position model. Lineage: Bacteria; Bacillati; Actinomycetota; Actinomycetes; Micrococcales; Promicromonosporaceae. RNAcentral also lists the same sequence under 1 other name. The record is from RNAcentral.